GGUUAAGCGACUAAGCGUACACGGUGGAUGCCCUGGCAGUCAGAGGCGAUGAAGGACGUGCUAAUCUGCGAAAAGCGUCGGUAAGGUGAUAUGAACCGUUACAGCCGGCGAUGUCCGAAUGGGGAAACCCAGUGCAAUUCGUUGCACUAUCGUUAACUGAAUACAUAGGUUAACGAGGCGAACCGGGGGAACUGAAACAUCUAAGUACCCCGAGGAAAAGAAAUCAACCGAGAUUCCCCCAGUAGCGGCGAGCGAACGGGGAGCAGCCCAGAGUCUGAAUCAGCUUGUGUGUUAGUGGAACGGUCUGGAAAGUCCGACGGUACAGGGUGAUAGUCCCGUACACCAAAAUGCACAGGUUGUGAACUCGAAGAGUAGGGCGGGACACGUGGUAUCCUGUCUGAAUAUGGGGGGACCAUCCUCCAAGGCUAAAUACUCCUGACUGACCGAUAGUGAACCAGUACCGUGAGGGAAAGGCGAAAAGAACCCCGGCGAGGGGAGUGAAAAAGAACCUGAAACCGUGUACGUACAAGCAGUGGGAGCACCUUCGGGUGUGACUGCGUACCUUUUGUAUAAUGGGUCAGCGACUUAUAUUCUGUAGCAAGGUUAACCGUAUAGGGGAGCCGCAGGGAAACCGAGUCUUAACUGGGCGUUAAGUUGCAGGGUAUAGACCCGAAACCCGGUGAUCUAGCCAUGGGCAGGUUGAAGGUUGGGUAACACUAACUGGAGGACCGAACCGACUAAUGUUGAAAAAUUAGCGGAUGACUUGUGGCUGGGGGUGAAAGGCCAAUCAAACCGGGAGAUAGCUGGUUCUCCCCGAAAGCUAUUUAGGUAGCGCCUCGUGAACUCAUCUUCGGGGGUAGAGCACUGUUUCGGCUAGGGGGUCAUCCCGACUUACCAACCCGAUGCAAACUACGAAUACCGAAGAAUGUUAUCACGGGAGACACACGGCGGGUGCUAACGUCCGUCGUGAAGAGGGAAACAACCCAGACCGCCAGCUAAGGUCCCAAAGUCAUGGUUAAGUGGGAAACGAUGUGGGAAGGCACAGACAGCCAGGAUGUUGGCUUAGAAGCAGCCAUCAUUUAAAGAAAGCGUAAUAGCUCACUGGUCGAGUCGGCCUGCGCGGAAGAUGUAACGGGGCUAAACCAUGCACCGAAGCUGCGGCAGCGACACUAUGUGUUGUUGGGUAGGGGAGCGUUCUGUAAGCCUGCGAAGGUGUGCUGUGAGGCAUGCUGGAGGUAUCAGAAGUGCGAAUGCUGACAUAAGUAACGAUAAAGCGGGUGAAAAGCCCGCUCGCCGGAAGACCAAGGGUUCCUGUCCAACGUUAAUCGGGGCAGGGUGAGUCGACCCCUAAGGCGAGGCCGAAAGGCGUAGUCGAUGGGAAACAGGUUAAUAUUCCUGUACUUGGUGUUACUGCGAAGGGGGGACGGAGAAGGCUAUGUUAGCCGGGCGACGGUUGUCCCGGUUUAAGCAUGUAGGCUGAUUGUCCAGGCAAAUCCGGAUAAUCAAGGCUGAGGUGUGAUGACGAGGCACUACGGUGCUGAAGUAACAAAUGCCCUGCUUCCAGGAAAAGCCUCUAAGCAUCAGGUAACAUUAAAUCGUACCCCAAACCGACACAGGUGGUCAGGUAGAGAAUACCAAGGCGCUUGAGAGAACUCGGGUGAAGGAACUAGGCAAAAUGGUGCCGUAACUUCGGGAGAAGGCACGCUGGUGUGUAGGUGAAGUCCCUGCGGAUGGAGCUGAGACCAGUCGAAGAUACCAGCUGGCUGCAACUGUUUAUUAAAAACACAGCACUGUGCAAACACGAAAGUGGACGUAUACGGUGUGACGCCUGCCCGGUGCCGGAAGGUUAAUUGAUGGGGUUAUCCGUAAGGAGAAGCUCUUGAUCGAAGCCCCGGUAAACGGCGGCCGUAACUAUAACGGUCCUAAGGUAGCGAAAUUCCUUGUCGGGUAAGUUCCGACCUGCACGAAUGGCGUAAUGAUGGCCAGGCUGUCUCCACCCGAGACUCAGUGAAAUUGAACUCGCUGUGAAGAUGCAGUGUACCCGCGGCAAGACGGAAAGACCCCGUGAACCUUUACUAUAGCUUGACACUGAACAUUGAGCCUUGAUGUGUAGGAUAGGUGGGAGGCUUUGAAGCGUGGACGCCAGUCUGCGUGGAGCCAACCUUGAAAUACCACCCUUUAAUGUUUGAUGUUCUAACGUUGGCCCCUGACCGGGGUUGCGGACAGUGUCUGGUGGGUAGUUUGACUGGGGCGGUCUCCUCCCAAAGCGUAACGGAGGAGCACGAAGGUUAGCUAAUCCUGGUCGGACAUCAGGAGGUUAGUGCAAUGGCAUAAGCUAGCUUGACUGCGAGCGUGACGGCGCGAGCAGGUGCGAAAGCAGGUCAUAGUGAUCCGGUGGUUCUGAAUGGAAGGGCCAUCGCUCAACGGAUAAAAGGUACUCCGGGGAUAACAGGCUGAUACCGCCCAAGAGUUCAUAUCGACGGCGGUGUUUGGCACCUCGAUGUCGGCUCAUCACAUCCUGGGGCUGAAGUAGGUCCCAAGGGUAUGGCUGUUCGCCAUUUAAAGUGGUACGCGAGCUGGGUUUAGAACGUCGUGAGACAGUUCGGUCCCUAUCUGCCGUGGGCGCUGGAGAAUUGAGGGGGGCUGCUCCUAGUACGAGAGGACCGGAGUGGACGCAUCACUGGUGUUCGGGUUGUCAUGCCAAUGGCACUGCCCGGUAGCUAAAUGCGGAAGAGAUAAGUGCUGAAAGCAUCUAAGCACGAAACUUGCCCCGAGAUGAGUUCUCCCUGAGACUAUAAGUCUCCUGAAGGAACGUUAAAGACGAUGACGUUGAUAGGCCGGGUGUGUAAGCGCAGCGAUGCGUUGAGCUAACCGGUACUAAUGAACCGUGAGGCUUAACCUU
This 2902-nucleotide ribosomal RNA is filed under the name Klebsiella pneumoniae. RNAcentral's name for it is "23S ribosomal RNA". It matches the Rfam family "Bacterial large subunit ribosomal RNA". RNAcentral also lists the same sequence under 1 other name. The record is from RNAcentral. Lineage: Bacteria; Pseudomonadati; Pseudomonadota; Gammaproteobacteria; Enterobacterales; Enterobacteriaceae.